GCUUUACUGUAGCCUGGAAUUGUGUUCGGGCUUCGCUUGCGCAGGAUAGGUGGGAGGCAUAGAAGUACCCCUUGUGGGGGGUAUGGAGCCAACGGUGAGAUACCACUCUGGCGAGGCUAGGAUUCUAACCUUAACCCGUAAUCCGGGAAAGGAACAGUUUCAGGUGGGCAGUUUGACUGGGGCGGUCGCCUCCGAAAGAGUAACGGAGGAGUUCAAAGGUACCCUCAGCCUGGUCGGCAAUCAGGCAACGAGCGUAUAGGUAGAAGGGUGCUUGACUGCGAGACUCAUAAGUCGAGCAGGGUCGAAAGACGGACUAAGUGAUCCGGCGGUGCUGGAUGGAAAGGCCGUCGCUCAUCAGAUAAAAGGUA
This 368-nucleotide ribosomal RNA is filed under the name uncultured alga. RNAcentral's name for it is "bacterial LSU rRNA". It matches the Rfam family "Bacterial large subunit ribosomal RNA", at positions 2099 to 2462 of the family's 2925-position model. The record is from RNAcentral.